RNAcentral lists this unclassified non-coding RNA (313 nucleotides) under Hevea brasiliensis (rubber tree). Lineage: Eukaryota; Viridiplantae; Streptophyta; Magnoliopsida; Malpighiales; Euphorbiaceae. The record is from RNAcentral.
AAGGCCUCCACAAGAAGUUCACGAACUUUGUCACGUAAAGCAUCAUUACAUUUGACCAAUGUAGUAAGCUUUGGUGGAGCAAUAGGAGCUUGAGAUGGUUUCUUCCCAUUAGAAACAUGUUUCUCCUCCUUGGAUAUCUUUUCAACCUUGAUAGUUUCUUCACGAUCAAUUUUUUCAACCCUAACCGUGCCUGCUUUAUGAAUCUUCUCAACUUUAACGGUCUCUACCUUCGAAACCUCAGCUUUCCCAGAACUUUUAUUAUCAAUGGCACCAUUUUUCUUUCUGGUGGUCUCAUCAAUAACUAUCUUUUUCC